GAAUUGUUAGCAUUGUCAUUCUAUUUAUCUUGCUUGGCAGCACGAGAGUUGGAUCCACAGUGCAGAAAAGAAACUGGAGUUAGAAUCAUGGCAGAGACAACCGGACAGAAGACUGUGGUUUGUGCUAUGCCUGUCAAUCAGAACAACAGAUUCUGUAAAGAAAAGGCACUGGACUCAGGAAUGAGAAGGGGUUUGCAAAUCUGUGUAUGGAUGCUAUGGUGAAUCCCAUGGCCCAUAGCACUGUCUCUGACCAGUUUUCUACAAAUGUCAUGAGCUCCAAUGGAUGGACUGGGAUUUGCCUGCUCUUUCAGAAACAGAAUGACUCUUGUGCUUCCUCAUUAGCCCAUGUGCUAGUUCCUCUUCAAAAACUGCACCUCCGCCCUUGCAACGCCUAUCAUCCAUCAGGUCUUGGAUCAUUUCACUCUCUCAAAAACAUUUCCCCACCUCCUGUUCCCUUCUCCUAACUGGAUUAAGUGUCUACAAUCAACAUUCAUCACCCUGCUCUGUAAUUUCCUUCUCCUUUCUCUUUUUUUCCUACAGAUUGUGAUAAGGACUCAAAUAAGGUUCCAACAGUUCAAAUUAUACUUGUGGGAAAAUGAAAAAGUAAAACCCCUUGGACUGUGACCCUAGUUCCUCCAUAUC
RNAcentral lists this long non-coding RNA (642 nucleotides) under Fukomys damarensis (Damara mole-rat). Its description in RNAcentral is "lncRNA (ENSFDAG00000024297.1)". The record is from RNAcentral. Lineage: Eukaryota; Metazoa; Chordata; Mammalia; Rodentia; Bathyergidae.